GACGAACGCUGGCGGCGUGCUUAACACAUGCAAGUCGAACGAUGAAGCACUUCCUUUGGUUGUGUGGAUUAGUGGCGAACGGGUGAGUAACACGUGAGUAACCUGCCCUUCACUCUGGGAUAACUCUGGGAAACUGGUGCUAAUACUGGAUAGUACUCCUGCCUGCAUGGGUGGGGGUGGAAAGUUUUUCGGUGGAGGAUGGACUCGCGGCCUAUCAGCUUGUUGGUGGGGUAAUGGCCUACCAAGGCGACGACGGGUAGCCGGCCUGAGAGGGUGACCGGCCACACUGGGACUGAGACACGGCCCAGACUCCUACGGGAGGCAGCAGUGGGGAAUAUUGCACAAUGGGCGCAAGCCUGAUGCAGCGACGCCGCGUGGGGGAUGAAGGCCUUCGGGUUGUAAACUCCUUUCGCCAUUGACGAAGCCCUUUGGGGUGACGGUAGGUGGAGAAGAAGCACCGGCUAACUACGUGCCAGCAGCCGCAGUAACAC
This 491-nucleotide ribosomal RNA is filed under the name uncultured bacterium. RNAcentral's name for it is "bacterial SSU rRNA". It matches the Rfam family "Bacterial small subunit ribosomal RNA", at positions 28 to 526 of the family's 1533-position model. The record is from RNAcentral.